UCGAGAAUUUUUCACAAUGGGGGAAACCCUGAUGGAGCGACGCCGCGUGGGGGAAGAAGGCCUUCGGGUUGUAAACUCCUGUCAUGCGAGAACAAUAAAAUGAUAGUAUCGCAAGAGGAAGAGACGGCAAACUCUGUGCCAGCAGCCGCGGUAAUACAGAGGUCUCAAGCGUUGUUCGGAUUUAUUGGGCGUAAAGGGUGCGUAGGCGGUGAUAUAAGUCUAGUGUGAAAUUUCGGAGCUUAACUCCGAACCUGCACAAGAUACUGUAUUGCUAGAGGAUUGUAGAGGAGAUUGGAAUUCACGGUGUAGCAGUGAAAUGCGUAGAUAUCGUGAGGAAGACCAGUGGCGAAGGCGAAUCUCUGGGCAAUUCCUGACGCUGAGGCACGAAGGCCAGGGGAGCAAACG
Molecule: ribosomal RNA, 405 nt
Filed under: uncultured bacterium
Lineage: Bacteria
Description: bacterial SSU rRNA
Rfam family: Bacterial small subunit ribosomal RNA
Source: RNAcentral